GGUCCUGUUUUCCUUUAAAGUUUGAGUGGGCAACACAGGGUGCGCCUUGUUUAAACACAAAAGCACCAGGCCAGUCCUGGGCUAUGCUGGAGCUGCGGCCGGACCAGGGGCAGACCCAGGCUAGAGAAGGAUUUGGGGAUUUUAGAAGCCCAGGCUGCAACAGAGGCGACCUCUCCAAGCACAGCUGUGCCCGAUCCGUCAUUUCAAGUCGCGGAGCCGUUGAAACAAGCCAACACCUGAGGCCUUACACUGCCCCCAGCUGAGGCGCACCAGUGUGAGUCACUCGGCCUCCUCCUGACUCCAGCUCCAGGAAGGACACCAUUGCUGCAUGUCCCCAGUCCUCCACGGCACCAUGAAAGGGUUAACGUGGGGCUCCAUCACGACACAAGUCUGUGUUUAUCUGCUGCAAAGUAAGCCACUUAGGUUUCUGAUUUACAAUCCUCAGUUUUCAUAAAAGUCAGUCAUUCCCACUAAAAGAAUGUGGGUUAGAUUUAUAGGAUCUGCCUUUGUCUUUAAAGCCCAAAGCUGGUCUAUGACUCACUCUCCAUGUUUUUGCUCUCAUCCAGAGAUAUUCAUGGGCACAGAAAAUGAUUCAGAUCUCUGCCCCGAAAAAUAAGACUUUGUGUGGGGGUUGCUAAUUAUAAUGGCGUCAAUUGUACUAUGCUUGUAAACUUGCCGUCAGCGGGGGCCCCCUGGAGCCUGUUUUCCCGGGGGUUUAUUCUUCAAUAAAAUGUGCUCUGGUUUGCAGCUUGGCAUACAAGA
Molecule: long non-coding RNA, 762 nt
Organism: Jaculus jaculus (lesser Egyptian jerboa)
Lineage: Eukaryota; Metazoa; Chordata; Mammalia; Rodentia; Dipodidae
Exons: 2
Source: RefSeq, a predicted model, not a curated record